GGAUGAGUGACAGGUGUCAUGAGAGUACAGCAGAAGGGAUGAGUCACUCCUUCCUAGAGGCUGAGAAAGUCUUUCCAUAGCCAGUUACAUGGUGGCUGUUCUUAGAGGAUGAGUGGGAAAUCUGCCCAGUGGAGCAGUGAGAAAGGCAUUCUAGGAGGAAGGGACAGCAGGACAGAGGCACAGUAAACUAAAAGCAUUUUAGGAGAUGCAAGAAGCUCCAUGUGGUAAGAGGUGAAAAGGCAGGGCAGGAUUUUAAAGAGCUUUGUAGUCUCUUCCCAAGAGCUGGGCUCUCAUCCCUGAGUCAGGUGUUGUUAAUAGUGGGGGGCAGGUAAGGGAGUGGAGGAAGGUGGCAACAGCUUGGGGUUUCAGAAAAACUUUUCGAGAGCCAGCAGGGAAGGAUUUGAUGGAAGGAAGGUGGUGCCAGGAAAACAGGAUCAAAGCCUGAAAUCCCAGAUUAGGCAGAUCCUGGGCCCAACUAACAACUCAGCUCUGACACCCAAAUGCUUCUCUAGAGGGCUAGGUAAAUUUAAAGGUCCAGUGUGAAAAGAAGAAUAGUUUUGCCCAGCACUCAGAGAGAAUUUGAGGUAGAAGUUUGUAUGCCUACUUAUAAAAUGAAUCAAUGCCUCAGGGCCUUCCCCAUAGCAUCAGAAUUAGUCCUUGACACCUAGACAUUCUUCCUCUGUUUUUGCUUCUCAUGUUGCCUGAAGGCUCUUCUUUUUUUGACUUGCAUAAUUCCCUCAUCUAGCUGGGGGGCCUCCUAUAAACUCUGCCACACUGCUAAUAUUUCAUUGUCAUUUUCAGCUCUAUUACGUCUUCCUCUCAAUCAUUCUUUAGAAUAGGAGAUGUCAUCUAGAGGGGUUCUGCAGCUUGCAUAAAUGAAUUAUGAAUCCUCAUGAUUUCAAGUGGGUUACUGAGCCCCUUCCAAGCAGAACCAGGCAUCUGGUGACUCCAAAGUGUGAAAAGGACAUUAUGCAUAUGUAUGCAGAAACACAUGCCCUACAGCGUUUCUGAAGUACUUGCACGUUUUUUACUCACAUGGGCGCCAUAUGCAAGGGGACCUGAAAACCAAUGUUCUUUGAAAGGAAAGUGCUUUCACAUAUCCUUUCUCUUCCCUCUUCUCCUUAGAAUUCUUCACUUCUUUUUCUGAACCCAAUAAAGGAGGAAGGAAAAGGUUUUCCUGAGUGUUCUCAUCCUGUGUUACAUACAGUUUUGCACAUAUGUAGGCAGGUAACCAUCAGUAUCUACAAGAGAAAAGCAACAUACCUCAGUCUACAAGAACAUAGUAAGGGAAGCAAAAGCAGUUUCUCUGACAUAGAUUUUUGCCUGAACUUCCUGCAUUGUGGAGGGUAAUACUAAAGAAUUUCGACCACAAAUUUCCAAUAAUUUGAAUUUUCUGUAUUUUAAAGUGUGAUUAAAGUGCAUUGCAAAGGCCACAGAAUGUUCAAGAAAGGCAGGGUGUGGCAGCCUAGUGAGUCUGGAGGCUCAGGAAAUGAGGAUAUCUCUGGAAAUUAGAUUGUCAUGUUUUGUUUCAGAUUCUGGGCUUUGACUUAAACAUUGAUUUGAAUCCUAGCUCUGGUGUUAACUUGCUGCAUAACCUUAGGCAAGUCAUUGUACCCUCUCGAAUCCUUUAGAUUCUUCCUUUGUCUGAAGAUGAUAAUAUCUACUUCAUAGAAUGGUUAUAAAGAUUAAGUGAGCAGAUUGAUAUAAUCUUUGCAGUGGUGUGUGGCACCUGGCAGGCCCUCAAUAAGUACAACUUUUGUUGUUUUUAUGUUGUUACACGUUAUCUUAAUUUAGUAAUUACACAUUACUUAGCUUCAACUUCCUUAUUUCUAAAAUUGGAAUGAUAAUCACUGUCCUAUUCAUUUUAUCUAGUUUUUUUAGUGGAAAUUAAGUAACAGUGUAUGUAAAGAUACUUUGUAAAGUGAAAAAUUCUAAAUAUCCAGGAAGCGUGGUUAUUGUCAUUAUUUUAGAGGUACUUAGGCUGUCAUGGUUGCAAGAAUAUUUGGGGAAAGUCCACCUGAAGUAGAUACAGGAUGCUACCGAUCCACAUAAGAACAGCUGCAAUCACCCAGUGAGUUCAAUUCCUGCGCAUCUUUUGGUGUGAAAAACUGCCCAAUACCUUGUAUGUGUAGAAGAUAGAGAGUAUUUGGAAAUAAAGAUUGGGAGAGUCUCACUUCUCUUCAAGAGUGAUGCAUAUAAGGUGGAAACUUACAGUGUUUUUUUUAAAAAUAUUUUAUAUCUACUGAGCUGUUACCAUUCCUAGAGCUUAAAGAUUGUACAUGAUUGCCAAAGCUCCUCUGAUUGAUAAGCAACCAGCAGCUCAGAUACUUGCAGAUUCUGCCGGUCUCCAUGGCUUUCCUUCCCGCAAAGAUGGUACUCUCAGGCCUUUCUUCAUCCUCACUGUCCCUUUGUGGGGGAUCUCAGAAGUAGGCAGUAGAUCAGGCCCUUGACCAAGCUGUCAGGGACUUGCUGUUUAUCAUUAGGGCUGCCUGAAUUACCUUCCUUAGUAAAUUUCAAUUUCUCAUCUCCCUAUCUGGAAGUAGAGAGGGUAAGGGGGACAAGAACUGCCUUUGGGAUGGUUGGGCCUGUGUCCACAGAGCCGAGUUUGAAUGCACCUCUACCAACUACUUCUUACAGCUUGUUUGAGAAGUAAAAAAAGUAUCUGGUUGUUUAAACCAGAUAACUGGUUUAAGUUAUCCAUUUCCUCUGAGACUUGCUUAUUGCAUCUGUAAAUGGGGAUAAUAAUAUAUCUACCAAGCCAAAUAUUUCUGAGAAUUAGAUGAAAUAAUGUUUUUAAAAUAGCUUACACUGGAGUUCCCGUUGUGGCUCAGUGGUUAAUGAAUCCAACUAGGAACCAUUGUGGGUUCAAUCCCUGGCCUUGCUCAGUGGGUUAAGGAUCCGGCAUUGCUAUGAGCUGUGGUGUAGCUUGCAGAUGCGGCUCAAAUCUGGCGUUGCUGUGGCUGUGGUGUAGGCCGGCGGCUACAGCUCUGAUUAGACCCCUAGCCUGGGAACUUCCAUAUGCCAUGGGAGCGGCCCUACAAAAGACAAAAAUAAAUAAAUAAAUAAAGACAAAAAAGUUAAUAAGUAAAAUAGCUUACAGGAGUUCCUGUCAUGGCACAGCAGAAAUGAAUCCAACUAGGAACCAGGAGUUUGUGGGUUCGAUCCCUGGCCUUGCUCAGUGGGGUAAGGAUCCAGCGUUGCCAUGAGCUGCGGUGUAGGACAAAGAUGCAGCUCGGAUCUGAUGUUACUGUGGCUGUGGCAUAGGUUGCCAGCUGUAGCUCUGAUUUGACCCCUAGCCUGGGAAUCUCCAU
This 3311-nucleotide long non-coding RNA is filed under the name Sus scrofa (pig). Its description in RNAcentral is "lncRNA (ENSSSCG00000060533.1)". The record is from RNAcentral. Lineage: Eukaryota; Metazoa; Chordata; Mammalia; Artiodactyla; Suidae.